Molecule: ribosomal RNA, 482 nt
Filed under: uncultured bacterium
Lineage: Bacteria
Description: partial 16S ribosomal RNA
Rfam family: Bacterial small subunit ribosomal RNA
Source: RNAcentral
GACGAACGCUGGCGGCGUGCUUAACACAUGCAAGUCGAACGAUGAAGAAGAGAAACGCGAACUUCGGUUCAAAUUUCACUUCGGAUUAGUGGCAGACGGGUGAGUAACGCGUGAGCAACCUACCUCUUACAAAGGGAUAGCCUCGGGAAACCGUGAUUAAUACCAUAUGACACAUUCAUAAGGCAUCUUAAGAAUGUUAAAGCUACGGCGGUAAGAGAUGGGCUCGCGUCCCAUUAGCUAGUUGGUGAGGUAAGGGCCCACCAAGGCGACGAUGGCUAACCGGCAUGAGAGACUGAACCGUCACAUUGAAACUGAGACACAGUCCAGACUCCUACGGGAUGGAGCAGUGGGGGAUAUUGCACCAUGGAGGGAACUCUGAUGCAGCGACGACGCGUGAGCGAUGAAGGAAUUCGUUAAGUAAAGCUCUGUUCUAUGGGAAGAAAAGGACUGUACCAAAGGAGAAAGCCCCGGCUAACUACGUG